Molecule: long non-coding RNA, 1371 nt
Filed under: Homo sapiens (human)
Lineage: Eukaryota; Metazoa; Chordata; Mammalia; Primates; Hominidae
Description: endogenous retrovirus group K13 member 1
Source: RNAcentral
UCACCCCCACCCUGACUCCAGUUCAUGAACUGGUCAAAGGAAGAGCCAUGCCAGCAAACGUCUACACUGUACAUGCUUUUUAUUACAAGACUACGGAGCAUAGGAGGAAAAUUCAUCAUCUGGGGUUUUGUUUGUGUUUCCCCAGGAAAAGAACUACAGCCUGUGUGGGUCCCCUCCCGACAAUUAAAAUUGCACCAUAACUCCAAAGAUGAAACGCUCCCAGAAAGAAAAGGCAAAGACCCAUCGGAAACAAAAGAGCAACUUUCACCGCCUGAUACAUACACUUCAUGACAUCCACAUUGAGACAAAAUCUCGCCGUGUGACCUACAACACCUCUCGUUCAACCCCACCUACUUGGGGUCGAAUACAGAUUUUAUCUCAUCAAACAGAAAAAUUCUUAACAGAAAAAGGAAUCCCAAAAAUGACUGGUAAUAUAAUUCUGGCUGCCUUUAUGGUAGUCAGUGCAGCGUCUGCAGAUGCCUCUAAGGAGUCCGAAACCAAGUCCGAAGUCAACAACAAGCAAUGAUGGCGAUGGCGAUUCUAGUUAAUAAAAAGGGGGGAGAUGUGGGCGGCAAGCCACCCAGGCACCGAGGCAAGAGACAGAGGACACGAGCUGUUCCAGUAUAAUAAAAUAUAAAACAAGAAUAGUUAUACCAGAUAUAGAUCUUAGAUAUGAUUAUAUACGAAUAUCAUUAAUCAUGAGUUUGUAGCAAUUACUUUUUAUUCCAAUAUUAUGAUAAUCCUCGCUCUAUAAUCAUAGCCUAGGAAAAACCAGGCCAUACAGAGAUAGGAGCUGAGGGGACAUAGUGAAGUGUGACCAGAAGACAAGAGUGCGAGCCUUCUGUUAUGCCCGGACAGGGCCACCAGAGGGCUCCUUGGUCUAGCGGUGACGCCAGCGUCUGGGAAGACACCCGUUACCAGGCGGAUCGUGGCCCAGCCGUAGCAAAAGGUGUCAAGGAACACCUUUUGCAAAAGGUGUCAACACCCGCUACUUAGCAGACUGGGAAAGGGGGGCGGUCUCCCUUUCCCCGGGGGAGUUUAGAGAAGACUCUGUUCCUCCACCUCUUGUGGAGGGCCUGACAUCAGUCAGGCUUGCCCGUAGUUAUCCGGAGGCCUAACUGUCUCCCUGUGAUGCUGUGCUUCAGUGGUCACGCUCCUAGUCUGCCUUCAUUUUCCAUCCUGUACACCUGGCUCUGCCUUCUAGAUAGCAGUAGUAAAUUAGUGAAAAUACUAAUAGUCCCUGAUAUGCAGAAAUAAUGGCAUAAGCUGUCUUUCUCUCUGUCUCCUCUCCCUCUCUGCCUCGGCUGCCAGGCAGGGAAGGGCCCCCUGUCCAGUGGACACAUGACCCAUGUGACCUUACCUAUCAUUGGA